GCGGCGGACGGGUGAGUAACACGUGGGCAACCUGCCCUGCAGACUGGGAUAACUUCGGGAAACCGGAGCUAAUACCGGAUAACACCGAAAACCGCAUGGUUUUCGGUUGAAAGGCGGCUUUUAGCUGUCACUGCAGGAUGGGCCCGCGGCGCAUUACCUAGUUGGUGAGGUAACGGCUCACCAAGGCGACAAUGCGUAGCCAACCUGAGAGGGUGACCGGCCACACUGGGACUGAAACACGGCCCAAACUCCUACGGGAGGCAGCAGUAGGGAAUCUUCCGCAAUGGACAAAAGUCUGACGGAGCAACGCCGCGUGAGCGAAGAAGGUCUUCGGAUCGUAAAGCUCUGUUGUCAGGGAAGAACAAGUGCCGUUCGAACAGGGCGGUACCUUGACGGUACCUGACGAGGAAGCCACGGCUAACUACGUGCCAGCAGCCGCGGUAAUAC
RNAcentral lists this ribosomal RNA (447 nucleotides) under Aeribacillus sp. H01D023. Its description in RNAcentral is "bacterial SSU rRNA". It matches the Rfam family "Bacterial small subunit ribosomal RNA", at positions 95 to 526 of the family's 1533-position model. Lineage: Bacteria; Bacillati; Bacillota; Bacilli; Caryophanales; Bacillaceae. The record is from RNAcentral.